Bos taurus (domestic cattle) is the source of this 72-nucleotide non-coding RNA. Lineage: Eukaryota; Metazoa; Chordata; Mammalia; Artiodactyla; Bovidae. The record is from Rfam.
UCCCUGGUGGCUCAGAUGGUAAAGAAUCUGCCUGCAAUGCAGGAAACCUGGGUUCGAUCCCUGGGUUGGGAA